CAGAGUUAGGGUUGCCCUUGCGGUGCCCGACCUCCCAACCCUUUGCCUUGAAAACAAACGACGGGUGCGCCGUCAAAACGCGCGCCCGCCGGCACCUUUGUAUACCGUUGCUUCGGCGGCUCACACCGCCGGAGGGACAGUAAACCAAAACUCUUGUUAUUAAACCGUGUAACCGUCUGAGAAACAUACUUUUAAUAAGUUA
Molecule: unclassified non-coding RNA, 202 nt
Filed under: uncultured fungus
Lineage: Eukaryota; Fungi
Description: sequence contains ITS1
Source: RNAcentral